AAGUCGUAACAAGGUUUCCGUAGGUGAACCUGCGGAAGGAUCAUUAACGAUUGAAGAAAAUUCAGUCAAAUGAGAGAGAGAUAUUGGUGGGUAAAAAGCAUAGAAUUAUUACUGGGGUUGCUGAGCUGUGCCAGAGUCCCGAGUGGACUGGCCGGUGGAAGCGACAUUACUGCAAGCAUUAAAGAGCCCUCUAUGUUGUGACUGAGUCAAUUUUGCAGUCACAGGGCCGCCCCGACCAAGUUAUACUGUGUUUUCGCACAGUUCUUGCCCCGGCAAGAUUUAUAUAUUGUAUUAUGCUGAGAAAUAUGAAUAAUAAAAGUGAAACACAACUGUAAGCGGUGGAUCACUCGGCUCACAG
This 358-nucleotide unclassified non-coding RNA is filed under the name fungal sp. RNAcentral describes it as "partial internal transcribed spacer region". The stretch from base 1 to 46 matches the Rfam family "Eukaryotic small subunit ribosomal RNA", at positions 1786 to 1831 of the family's 1831-position model. Lineage: Eukaryota; Fungi. The record is from RNAcentral.